UUGGACCAGAUCCUGGUUGAAGUUAUUGGAAUCUUGGCAUUCACCCAAAUACAUAUCAUCAGCGACUGUUGUCUCAUUGUUCAAAGCAUGGAGUGCAGAUAUCAGCGUGUACAUGGUAUCAUUACCCAUUCCAGCUGAAAAGCAAAUGUUAUUCUGUGUCCCUAUGGCAAUAAAUACACAACUGUCCAAGACUAGACUGAUAAAUAGCAUGAUUUAUAAGGUUUAAAUUAUACUAAUGUCUACAAUACUCUACAUCCAAAUGGACCAUAAAUUGCUGCAUAUGUGGCUG
RNAcentral lists this unclassified non-coding RNA (289 nucleotides) under Hevea brasiliensis (rubber tree). The record is from RNAcentral. Lineage: Eukaryota; Viridiplantae; Streptophyta; Magnoliopsida; Malpighiales; Euphorbiaceae.